AUGUGCCUUCGUUGGAUCUGGACACUGGACACCGAGUUGGAGAGAGAACACGUGAGACGGGGUGGAGGGCGCACACACGCGACAGCAGCGACGGCUGCUCCGGCCAGAAGAAGGAAGAACACGACGCAGAUCGAGCCGAAGAUGGCCGGGGCAGGGAGGAUCCGCCGCACGCACGGGACGCCCGCUGCUCGGCACGGGCCAGCGAGGCGGGGGUGGAGAGCGCGCACGGGAGUGCCCGCUUCUGGGCACAGGCCACGGAAGGGAGCACGCCCCGCCGCGACCAGCCGGCGGCGGCCGACGGCAGCGAGGGGAUGGGCUGAAGAAGGGGGUAGCGGCCGCGGCUGCUGGGAUGGCUGUGGCGCGGGGGCAACUCGGUCACCAUGGCCACAAAACUUUCUACUCCUCCUUGGGGCGUCAUGCGAGGAGGAAGAUGCGGGGUUGUCGCAGCGGCGGCCAUCGAUCGACGGCGGCGGUGGGAACACGCUAGGUGCCGCCCUCUCCUACACGCUGAGAAUCUAUCGGGGUUGGUUAAUUAAUAGGGAAGGUGGGCUCCCAAUGGGUUAA
This 564-nucleotide ribosomal RNA is filed under the name Triticum aestivum (bread wheat). RNAcentral describes it as "partial small subunit ribosomal RNA". The record is from RNAcentral. Lineage: Eukaryota; Viridiplantae; Streptophyta; Magnoliopsida; Poales; Poaceae.